GGCGUGCUUAACACAUGCAAGUCGAACGAUGAAGCCCUUCGGGGUGGAUUAGUGGCGAACGGGUGAGUAACACGUGGGCAAUCUGCCCUGCACUCUGGGACAAGCCCUGGAAACGGGGUCUAAUACCGGAUACCACCCUCUUCCGCAUGGGAGGGGGUUGAAAGCUCCGGCGGUGCAGGAUGAGCCCGCGGCCUAUCAGCUUGUUGGUGGGGUGAUGGCCUACCAAGGCGACGACGGGUAGCCGGCCUGAGAGGGCGACCGGCCACACUGGGACUGAGACACGGCCCAGACUCCUACGGGAGGCAGCAGUGGGGAAUAUUGCACAAUGGGCGAAAGCCUGAUGCAGCGACGCCGCGUGAGGGAUGACGGCCUUCGGGUUGUAAACCUCUUUCAGCAGGGAAGAAGCGAAAGUGACGGUACCUGCAGAAGAAGCGCCGGCUAACUACGUGCCAGCAGCCGCGGUAAUACGUAGGGCGCAAGCGUUGUCCGGAAUUAUUGGGCGUAAAGAGCUCGUAGGCGGCUUGUCGCGUCGGAUGUGAAAGCCCGGGGCUUAACCCCGGGUCUGCAUUCGAUACGGGCAGGCUAGAGUGUGGUAGGGGAGAUCGGAAUUCCUGGUGUAGCGGUGAAAUGCGCAGAUAUCAGGAGGAACACCGGUGGCGAAGGCGGAUCUCUGGGCCAUUACUGACGCUGAGGAGCGAAAGCGUGGGGAGCGAACAGGAUUAGAUACCCUGGUAGUCCACGCCGUA
This 746-nucleotide ribosomal RNA is filed under the name Streptomyces sp. SpA080624GE-02. Its description in RNAcentral is "bacterial SSU rRNA". It matches the Rfam family "Bacterial small subunit ribosomal RNA", at positions 41 to 804 of the family's 1533-position model. The record is from RNAcentral. Lineage: Bacteria; Bacillati; Actinomycetota; Actinomycetes; Kitasatosporales; Streptomycetaceae.